UACGGAGGAUGCAAGCGUUAUCCGGAUUCAUUGGGCGUAAAGCGCGUGCAGGUGGUCUUGUAAGUUGGAUGUGAAAGCUCCUGGCUUAACUGGGAGAGGUCGUUCAAAACUGCAAGACUUGAGAUUGGUAGAGGGAGGUGGAAUUCCGGGUGUAGUGGUGAAAUGCGUAGAUAUCCGGAGGAACACCAGUGGCGUAAGCGGCCUCCUGGACCAAUUCUGACACUCAGACGCGAAAGCUAAGGUAGCAAACGGGAUUAGAGACCCCGGUAGUCUUAGCUGUAAACGAUGUGAACUUGGCGUCGGUGGGUUUAAAUCCAUCGGUGCCGAAGCUAACGCGAUAAGUUCACCGCCUGGGGACUACGGCCGCAAGGUUAAA
Molecule: ribosomal RNA, 376 nt
Filed under: uncultured bacterium
Lineage: Bacteria
Description: bacterial SSU rRNA
Rfam family: Bacterial small subunit ribosomal RNA
Source: RNAcentral